UCUCUAAGUUUUUCGGUGUUUUUAUUAAGAUACAUGUUUAUCCAAUAAGAAAAUUCUAAAGUUUUAAAAGAAAGAACAAAUUAUCCCCUCACCUCCCUAGUGAGUGAUGAGCACGCAAAGGCUCAAGGGAUUUCCCGCCAUAGUCCAGUCUGAGCAAUCUAGGAUUUUAAGACACUGAGGUCCAUAAAAACCUUCAUCUUUCAUCCAAAUAUAUCCACUAAAAGUCCUCAAUUCACUCCAAGAUAGGUCAAUAAGAUAUAUACUUAACUCUAGCAGCUUGAAAAAUGGGAUUUAAUUCCAAGAAGUUUGUGAAUUCAUGUGAUGAAAAUAUAUAAUAUAUGCGAGCAAAUCGAGAAUAGAGUUGAAUAUCUCGUCUCAAAAAUCACUAAAUGUACUCUAUUUUUACUAUAUUCCUAGCCAUGGUGUCUUCCAAGACCCUGCGAGUUUGAAAAAUGGGCAUACUGACAGUCUGCAGUUAUAAGCUAGUGUAUUGAACUGUGGCUGAAGACGAGCAAGAAUUUUCCUUUGGAUAAAACUCUGAUCACUGACAGCUUGGUUCGUAACUUGACUGUUUAUAACAUCGUGAAUAAUCUUUACGUCUACUGUUUGCUCAAGAUGAGAAGAAUGAGGAUAAUGGUGAAUCAAAAGCAAAGAAAAGAAAAAAAACUUAUGAGGGAGUCACAAAAGAUGUAUGUGAUGACUUGAACCACAAGCUGCAAUAGCUUAAAAAAUGCUAAGAGGUUUGUGCUUUCUACCAAGUACGAUGUUCUCAUGCAAACUGUAUAGGCAUGAUGCAGAGAAGACAUUACAUGGCCUAAUAGGAUUUAUACAAAUCAUGAAACAAGCAAGUUACAAAGAAAACUUUUAAAGAUCAACUUGGCAGUGCCAAUAGUUACACAUGGACAAUUCCUGACUACCCUUCUUCAUGCAAGAAGUAUACCUAUGCCUCAAGCUUCCAAAGCCCUUUUUUCUGGUUAUGUGGUUACAGACUUAGAUUAUCAGUAUCCCCUAAUGGAGAUAAUAGAGAAACAAGUCGUUCAUUCCUCUCUUUAUACCUAAAAUUAUAUGAAGACCAUCUACUGACAUCUGGUGGUGUUCAUGCGGUAUCCAGCAGUGGAGCCACUAUAAGUUUCAGGUAGUGCCACACACCCACCAGUAUCCAAACCUGCCUUUUAAUGUGGGGCAUGAGAUAUACCAGCUUCUCAGCAGACAAUGUCUGUCCAACAUUGGUCAAAUGCCUCUUUUAGACUGGACACACCAAUGAGUCAGAUGUGGCCACUCAUUAUGCAUGGCCUAGUCAAAGGUCGAACCCUGAAAAAACCUCUGGACAAAUCUAAGUCAGGGCACAGCCAACUCAAAGAUUCAACCAUAAAACAACCUCUGGGCUGAUCAAAGUCAGGGCAUGGCUAAUAAACUCACAAAUUGAACCCUGAAACAAUCUCUGUGCUGAUCUAAGUCAUGGCACAGUCAACUCAUUGAAUUUGAAUUUUCAUGUCUAGGUUUAUAAAGAGGUAGUAAAAAACUGAGAAUCCAGAGGAAACCCAAUCAACCUGCAUUAGUUAUAUUGUCUAUAAAUAUCAAAAGCUAAAAAAAUAUACACCAGCUUCUCAGCAGACAAUGUCUGUCUGUCCAACAUUGGCACUUAUCUGGCCAAAUGCCUCUUUUAGACUUGACACACCAAUGAGUGACAUGUGGACAUUCUUAUGGAUGGCUUAGUCAAAGGUUGAAGCCUGAAACAGACGUCACUGGGUGGAUCCAAGCGGGCAUAGCCAACUGACAGAUGGAACACUGAAACAAUCUCUGGGUUGAUGUGAGUCAGGGCAUGGCUAACUCCCAGAUAAAACCCUGAAACAACCUUUUGGCUAAUGUCUUUAGGUGCAAUAAUUAUACAAUGAUACAUAAAGUUAAAGAUAUUUACCUAGUUAAAAACGCAAGCUAACUACACCUCGAUGCCACAGGAAGACCAAUCAACAAAUUUAUUUCUGCCGUGCUCCCUUGAGUUAGCGACGUACAUUUAUUUUUAUCGGUUGGUACUUCAUUUAAGACUUAAUGAAGAGUGGCACCAUUCGAUUAUUAAUUAUUGAUCAUCGCUAAUACGUCGUCUCAUCCGCCAUAUAUAUUUACAGUAUACGUGUCUAUACCACAGGAAGACCAAUAAAUAAUUUAUUGCGCCGUGCCCCCUUGUCCCAGCUAUCUUCCUCAAAUUCGUACCGAGCCCACGUUCCUCUUGGUCAGCACCAAGAAAUGUUCGUUCUCUUGUUUUUCGGUACUGACCAAAGGAAGGUGGGCUCUGGGUACGAGAUUGCUAUCUCACUCUGACAUGAGUUAAAAACGUCUGCGCGUAUUAUCUAAAUCAGUAUGCAAAUUAGUCAAAACGCUCAUGUAAAAAUAUGUUGUAAAACUUUGAUUUUCAGGAAUACAAAAAAUACCAAAACUUAGUGUGAUACUUGAAACUUAAUAAGGCCAAUUCUUUCAUAAUGUGUCUGUUAAGACAGUAUCUUAUAUUAGUGUUUGGUCUCACAAAAGUAACACUCGUUAAAUUUUUUGUACACUUGGAGAAAACAAACAUUUCUUUUGUCUCACUGAAAACAAACAUUUUAGCCAAUCAGAGUUAUCAAGAAAAUUCCCAAUUUGCAAAGCCGGCUGAGGUGUCGUGUAACCCACGUGAAUAAAAACAUUCCCGCCUUUGAAAUAAAAAUAUAAAACUCAUGAA
Molecule: long non-coding RNA, 2713 nt
Filed under: Actinia tenebrosa (Australian red waratah sea anemone)
Lineage: Eukaryota; Metazoa; Cnidaria; Anthozoa; Actiniaria; Actiniidae
Description: uncharacterized LOC116299697, transcript variant X2
Source: RNAcentral